GAGAUGCUUUGACUGCUCUCUGGUCUGUUUUCAGAGCGGACAGGAGCUGACGCGAGGAAACCGCCGCCGUUUUUAUCCUUGUUGUUGUUAUUCUGAAAUCAGGCUUUUUAUCCGCUGUUGGAGGGAGUUUUAUCCUGUGGCCGUUGCCGUUAUUUAUUGACGCUGAUAAGAAGAGCGUUUUGACCGUCCUCGUACGGGUGUCAUUCUGCAGAAGACGAGAGAAAGACUAAUAAAGGUCAGAAGCGGCGAUGUUUCUCCUGUCAGUCCAUCAUCAAACACGCUUUGAUUUCGGAUCAGAUUCAUGCCUUUCCUUUUCUCACAGAGCUUUAAAUCACAUCAGACUUCAGCUGUGUGUUUUACAGACGCACCACAGUCACAGUCUGAACUAUUCGAGGGAAGUUUGCCUAAAUAUAGUCUGAAAAUGCAGCAGAUUUAGCCGCCUAGACGCCUCCCAGACCCAUGUUUGUUCUCUGUUGUGUUUGUAAGAUGCGACACAAUCAAGUACAUUAAACCCCAGCAUUAAAAUGUUAAAUGGUGUGUUUU
Long non-coding RNA from Sinocyclocheilus rhinocerous, 543 nucleotides. RefSeq lists it as uncharacterized. Lineage: Eukaryota; Metazoa; Chordata; Actinopteri; Cypriniformes; Cyprinidae. The record is from RefSeq and is a predicted model, not a curated record. The transcript is spliced from 2 exons.